RNAcentral lists this long non-coding RNA (334 nucleotides) under Mytilus galloprovincialis (Mediterranean mussel). Lineage: Eukaryota; Metazoa; Mollusca; Bivalvia; Mytilida; Mytilidae. The record is from RNAcentral.
ACAUCAGAUACACAUACAACACAAACAUACAGACAUCACACAUAUAUAUUUUAAUACAUAGAUAGCACAUGCAGAAUAAAAGCUAAGCAAGAUAUAUUAAAACAAAUGUCUAAUAUCAGCACAUAUAUAGUAGCACAUAGUAUUUAUAUAAGAGUAGCACAUGCAAACUUAAACACUUUAAGCACAAACAAAAGACUACAUGCAGCUUUUGCAAAGGUAAUGCAUAAGCAAAAGAAAUAAAUGGCUAAAUAAAAAAUAAAAAUAACUGCAAAAAGAUAAAACAUAAAAAAAAACCAAACAAACAGCAGGCUUCUAGAUCAAGUUAUGGGGCAGC